Molecule: ribosomal RNA, 207 nt
Filed under: Polititapes aureus
Lineage: Eukaryota; Metazoa; Mollusca; Bivalvia; Venerida; Veneridae
Description: partial 16S ribosomal RNA
Rfam family: Bacterial large subunit ribosomal RNA
Source: RNAcentral
AAGACGAGAAGACCCUGCCGAGCUUGAUCAGGUUUAGCAUAAAGUGUUAAACUAAAAGGUAGUUGGGGAGAGCUAAACUUUAGAGAAUAGGUUUUUGGAAAACGUGGAUCCUCUCGGAGAGAAAGUAGGUAAAAGCUACCGCAGGGAUAACAGCGUAAUUUCCCUUAAGAGAUCGUAUUGAGUGGGAAGUUUGCGACCUCGAUGUUG